UACGAAGGGGGCUAGCGUUGCUCGGAAUUACUGGGCGUAAAGCGCGCGCAGGCGGUCUUCCAAGUCAGUGGUGAAAGCCCGGAGCUCAACUCCGGAACUGCCAUUGAAACUGUAAGACUUGAGGACGAGAGAGGUGAGUGGAAUUCCCAGUGUAGAGGUGAAAUUCGUAGAUAUUGGGAAGAACACCAGUGGCGAAGGCGGCUCACUGGCUCGUAUCUGACGCUCAGGCGCGACAGCGUGGGGAUCAAACAGG
Molecule: ribosomal RNA, 253 nt
Filed under: uncultured bacterium
Lineage: Bacteria
Description: partial 16S ribosomal RNA
Rfam family: Bacterial small subunit ribosomal RNA
Source: RNAcentral